Molecule: non-coding RNA, 305 nt
Organism: Pan troglodytes (chimpanzee)
Lineage: Eukaryota; Metazoa; Chordata; Mammalia; Primates; Hominidae
Rfam family: Metazoan signal recognition particle RNA
About the family: The signal recognition particle (SRP) is a universally conserved ribonucleoprotein. It is involved in the co-translational targeting of proteins to membranes. The eukaryotic SRP consists of a 300-nucleotide 7S RNA and six proteins: SRPs 72, 68, 54, 19, 14, and 9.
Source: Rfam
GCUGGGCAUAGUAAAUAGCCCACAACCAUAGUCCCAGCUACUUGGGCAGCUGAGGCAGGAGAAUCACUUGAGCCCAGGAGUUCUAGGCUGUAGUACGCUAUGCCAAUCGGGAGUCUACACUAAGUUCAGCAUCAAUACUGUGAUCUCUCAAGAGCAGGGGACCACUAUGUUGCCUAAGAAGGGGUCAACUGGCCCAAGUUGGAAAUGGAGCAGGUCAAAGCCUGCAUGCUGAUGAGUAGUGGGAUUGUACCUGUAAAAAAUACACUGUACUCUAGCAUGGGCAACAUAGCAAGACCCUGUCUCUU